AAGCAUUACCUCAAAAUUUGAAUUACCCCUGGUGGGGUUCCCGAGCGGCCAGCGAGAGAGCGUUGCCGCAGGCAACGACCCGAAGGGCGAAGCGCGCAGCGCUGAGUAAUCCUUCCCCCACCA
This 123-nucleotide small RNA is filed under the name Escherichia coli. RNAcentral's name for it is "RtT sRNA". It matches the Rfam family "RtT RNA". Rfam says of the family: This family represents a bacterial cis-regulatory element known as RtT RNA. The record is from RNAcentral. Lineage: Bacteria; Pseudomonadati; Pseudomonadota; Gammaproteobacteria; Enterobacterales; Enterobacteriaceae.